UAAAAGUUCUCAUCACAGGCAAAAAAAAUUGUAAGUAUGUGUGGGAUGGAUGUUAACUAGACUUAUUGUGGUAGUCAUUUUGCAGUAUAUACAAAAACAUCAUU
Ceratotherium simum simum (southern white rhinoceros) is the source of this 104-nucleotide non-coding RNA. NCBI's taxonomy places the organism in Eukaryota, Metazoa, Chordata, Mammalia, Perissodactyla, Rhinocerotidae. The record is from RefSeq and is a predicted model, not a curated record.